This 505-nucleotide ribosomal RNA is filed under the name uncultured bacterium. RNAcentral describes it as "partial 16S ribosomal RNA". It matches the Rfam family "Bacterial small subunit ribosomal RNA", at positions 28 to 507 of the family's 1533-position model. The record is from RNAcentral.
GACGAACGCUGGCGGCGUGCCUAAUACAUGCAAGUAGAACGCACAGUUUAUACCGUAGCUUGCUACACCAUAGACUGUGAGUUGCGAACGGGUGAGCAACGCGUAGGUAACCUGCCUGGUAGCGGGGGAUAACUAUUGGAAACGAUAGCUAAUACCGCAUAAUAUUAAUUAUUGCAUGAUAAUUAAUUGAAAGGUGCAAUUGCACCACUACCAGAUGGACCUGCGUUGUAUUAGCUAGUAGGUGAGGUAACGGCUCACCUAGGCGACGAUACAUAGCCGACCUGAGAGGGUGAUCGGCCACACUGGGACUGAGACACGGCCCAGACUCCUACGGGAGGCAGCAGUAGGGAAUCUUCGGCAAUGGACGAAAGUCUGACCGAGCAACGCCGCGUGAGUGAAGAAGGUUUUCGGAUCGUAAAGCUCUGUUGUAAGAGAAGAACGGGUGUGAGAGUGGAAAGUUCACACUGUGACGGUAUCUUACCAGAAAGGGACGGCUAACUACGUG